RNAcentral lists this transfer RNA (1710 nucleotides) under Kluyveromyces marxianus. Its description in RNAcentral is "tRNA-Gly". The record is from RNAcentral. Lineage: Eukaryota; Fungi; Ascomycota; Saccharomycetes; Saccharomycetales; Saccharomycetaceae.
AUGUUAGUGACAUCUGAUAACUCAGAGCGCACUUCAGUGACGCCAUACAAUUCAGGGCACCCAAAAGAAAAAGGGUUUUUAAAUGUCCAGCAUGUCCAUGAAGAUUCUGACCAAGAUUAUUAUACUGACAUCGAGAAGGCUGACAGUCCGCAGAAAGUUGUACGUGGGCUUCAGUCAAGACAUAUUCAAUUAAUAGCUUUGGGUAGUGCCAUCGGUACAGGUUUAUUUAUUGGUUCAGGAGGGGCUUUAAGUACUUGUGGACCAGCUCCGUUAUUUAUGGCUUACAUCAUCAUAUCGUUUUUCGUUUGGACUAUUAUGAACCAGCUUACCGAGAUGGUUUGUUUGAUUCCACUUCCUGGUGAAGCUUCAAUUUACUCGCUUACAAAGACAUACAUGAACUCUUCGAUUUCUUUUAUGAGCGGUUGGAAUUUGUUUUACGCAAUGGCAAUGAUUGUGCCUACUGAGAUUACGGCUUGUGCAUUGUUGAUUAAAUAUUGGACUGAUGCUAACUCUGCAAUUUUCAUUACGAUCUUCAUUGUUGUGUCAAUCUGCUUAACCAUGCUACCUGUUAGGGCGUUUGGUGAAAGUGAAUUUUACGUCUGUACAAUUAAGAUUGUGACAAUUAUCGGUCUAAUUAUUAUUGGUAUUGUCAUAUUUUUUGGUGGUGGACCUAACCAACACCAUGUCUUAGGAUUCCAUUAUUGGAAAACCCCAGGAGCUUUCCAAGAACACUUGGCGAGUGGAAGCACAGGAAAAUUUUUGGCUGUCUGGACAGCCAUUAUUAAGAGUGGGUUCUCUUUCGUUCUAGUCCCUGAAACUGUCACUUCGUGUUCGGCGGAAUGUGUCAUGCCAAGAAGAAACAUGCCAAGAGCGUGUCAAAGAUUUGUCUACCGUUUAGCAGUCUUUUAUGUUUUAGGUACAUUAAUCAUCGGUGUUAUUGUCGGUUCUGACAACGACAGGUUGAUUAAUGCUAUUCAGAGUGGGAAAUCUGAUGCAGCAGCGUCACCAUUUGUUAUUGGGAUUCAAGAAGUUGGGAUUAAGGUUUUACCACACAUCAUAAAUGCUUGCAUUCUAACAAGUGCUUAUUCUUGUGGCUGUGCUUUAUUAUACGGCUCAUCAAGAACCAUUUAUGCUAUGGCUUUGAAAGGAGAUGCUCCAAAGAUUUUCGGUAAGGUAAAUAGAUUUGGUACUCCAUAUUACAGUGUUGGUGCUGCUAGUUUAUUCACAUUCCUUGCUUACCUCAACUGCUCAAAGUCAUCAUCUAAAGUUUUCAAUUGGCUCUCGAAUAUUGCAACAAUUUCUGGUUUUGUGAGUUGGAUCUUUGUUGCUGCCACUUACUUACGUUUCAGGAGAGUCAUGGACAUUUUAAAUUUGAACGACAGGGUUCCCUUCAGGGUUCCAUACCAGAGAGCAUUUGCAUGGGCUACUGGUAUAUUCUUCUUCAUUUUGAGUUUAACUAAUGGUUACUCUGUAUUUAUUAGUGGAAACUGGAAUGUGAGUGACUUCUUUGCUGCGUAUGUCACCAUUGGGUUUAUGAUGGUUCUUUUCAUCAUCGGUACUGCGUAUCAUCGUGAAUGGAGAUUCAGAGAUCCAUAUGAAAUUGAAACGGAAAUCCUUCCCAAGAUCGCAAUAUCCGACGAAGAGGAGAGAAACGAAGUUGUUCCAGUACCUAAAAAUUUGUGGGAAAAAAUAGUGGCCUUUAUCAUUUAA